AUUGAACGCUGGCGGCAGGCCUAACACAUGCGAGUCGAGCGGAUGAAGGGAGCUUGCUCCUGGAUUCAGCGGCGGACGGGUGAGUAAUGCCUAGGAAUCUGCCUGGUAGUGGGGGAUAACGUCCGGAAACGGGCGCUAAUACCGCAUACGUCCUGAGGGAGAAAGUGGGGGAUCUUCGGACCUCACGCUAUCAGAUGAGCCUAGGUCGGAUUAGCUAGUUGGUGGGGUAAAGGCCUACCAAGGCGACGAUCCGUAACUGGUCUGAGAGGAUGAUCAGUCACACUGGAACUGAGACCCGGUCCAGACUCCUACGGGAGGCAGCAGUGGGGAAUAUUGGACAAUGGGCGAAAGCCUGAUCCAGCCAUGCCGCGUGUGUGAAGAAGGUCUUCGGAUUGUAAAGCACUUUAAGUUGGGAGGAAGGGCAGUAAGUUAAUACCUUGCUGUUUUGACGUUACCAACAGAAUAAGCACCGGCUAACUUCGUG
Molecule: ribosomal RNA, 484 nt
Filed under: uncultured bacterium
Lineage: Bacteria
Description: partial 16S ribosomal RNA
Rfam family: Bacterial small subunit ribosomal RNA
Source: RNAcentral